CCUUUGUUGCUGCUGAUCUCCUUCUCACUUGGUGUAGGAGAUAGAGAUUCCAAGCAAGCUUCCUCAUCACUAAAGAAAUCCCCUUCAAACUCAAGAUCAGGUCUUAUUAGGGAUUCUUUCUUUUUCUCAACAGAUGCAAGGGGUAUAGCUUCUUCUAUAGUUCCAAUACUCCCCACAUACAUUAUCCCAUAAUGUUUCAACUCACCAGAAUCAUCAGAUAUAACUCCACAAAACCCAGCAAGAGGAGGCUUAAGAGGAUAAGAUACUUCAUCAUCUACCUUAGCAAGCACCACUCUUUGAGUAUCAAAGUCCAUCCUUGCUCCUGUGGUGUUCAGAAAUGGAG
Molecule: long non-coding RNA, 343 nt
Filed under: Eutrema salsugineum
Lineage: Eukaryota; Viridiplantae; Streptophyta; Magnoliopsida; Brassicales; Brassicaceae
Description: long non-coding RNA (ESAL_LNC001871)
Source: RNAcentral